CUUCACCGAGCCGAGGUACAACGGGGUCUGCGGGCGGUCCUGCCCGUAGGUCGCCAGCAGCGCCUGCGCCUC
RNAcentral lists this antisense RNA (72 nucleotides) under Actinoalloteichus hymeniacidonis. RNAcentral describes it as "ASpks TB sRNA". It matches the Rfam family "ASpks TB sRNA". The record is from RNAcentral. Lineage: Bacteria; Bacillati; Actinomycetota; Actinomycetes; Pseudonocardiales; Pseudonocardiaceae.